GAAGUGAAGUUCAACUUCAUUGGGUUCUGCUUUCACCAACCUAUCCAUGGUGGUGAUGAUUAUACACAAGGAGAAGGUGAGUCUGGUCUUGAUAUAAUCUUUAUUAGUCUCUUUUGAUUUUGUGUUUAUCAGAAAAAUUGACGGAGAAAGAAAUUAGUUGCUUGCUGGAAUGAAGCUGUUUUUUUUGUUUGCUCUAGUUAUUUUGAUUUAUAAUAUCUUCAUUAUUAUUGUUGUUAUUGCUGUUAUUGAUUAUUGGUGUUUAGAAAUUAAUUAUUGGUAAUCUGUGAUUAAUUAUAUUUAUAUAGCAUGCUCGUUAGUUGGGGUGCGACAGUGACAGGGAAAGGAAGGUGGGUGGGAUGGAGAAGGAUAUGAAUUAGUAGAGAAGACUCUGAAAAAUGACAAUAACAUGUUUUUCUUUUCAUGGUAUUGCUAUUUAAUUGUACAAGAAAUAGACAAGGUAAAGAAGGUGUGAAUUUGAACCAAUUCAACUAGUUAGACCAGCCAUUUUUUUGGAACCAGUUUAUUGAUACAAUUUCAACACAUUCAUGUUUUGACAGGAUAGAGGUGUAAGUUUGAACCAGUCCAUCCAUCCCAUGUAUGUAUGUGAAUCCGGAUGUUCUACAGUAAAGACUUCAGAGGCCGUAAUAUUAAGAUCAAACGGUCGUAAUUGGACUGUCUCCGAAGUCUUGACUGCAUGCAAUCAAGAUUUGUAUGUGUGUGUAUAUUUUGAUUUUGACAGAAAUAUUUUUAUUAUUAUUUUUAUUCAUUUUGGCAAAUCGUUGGGUACAUGUGAAGAGGGAAUUUACAAACCUCCUGGCUAGUUGGAUUGUCAUAUUCCAAUUUGACUUUUUCUUUUACCCUCUGAAAGUGAAAACCGGGAAUCUUGUCCAAUAGACUAACAAUAUUCUGUUCCACACUGGUUUUGGCUGUAUGUGAAGACCAAUUACCUAUUUGAUUUGAGGUUUAAUAAUAGAAAAUGCAGUGGUUGCAACUUCAGAGAUCAUUUUUUUAGUUUUUUUUAAUAUGACGAGGUCAAACUCAGGAGCCAUGAGUCAAUUAUUUAUA
This 1065-nucleotide long non-coding RNA is filed under the name Cicer arietinum (chickpea). RNAcentral's name for it is "long non-coding RNA (CARI_LNC000988)". The record is from RNAcentral. Lineage: Eukaryota; Viridiplantae; Streptophyta; Magnoliopsida; Fabales; Fabaceae.